Molecule: transfer RNA, 72 nt
Filed under: Phrynosoma platyrhinos (Desert horned lizard)
Lineage: Eukaryota; Metazoa; Chordata; Lepidosauria; Squamata; Phrynosomatidae
Description: tRNA-OTHER
Rfam family: tRNA
About the family: Transfer RNA (tRNA) molecules are approximately 80 nucleotides in length.
Source: RNAcentral
AGUAGUGUGGUGUAGUGGUUUGAAUGUUGGACUACAACUCCGGAGACCAGGGUUUGAAUCCCUGCUCAGCCA